Molecule: ribosomal RNA, 518 nt
Filed under: Ascomycota sp. 62 OA-2013
Lineage: Eukaryota; Fungi; Ascomycota
Description: eukaryotic LSU rRNA
Rfam family: 5.8S ribosomal RNA (bases 157-310)
Source: RNAcentral
GUCGAGGCAGGUUACCUGUCUUUUCCCCUUGCUUCAAGUAUUAUCACCCUUGUUUUUUUGCGCACUCAUGUUUCCUCGGCAGGCUUGCCUGCCGGUUGGACAACCUAUAAAACCUUUUUAAUUUUCAAUCAGCGUCUGAAAUAAUUUAAUAAUUACAACUUUCAACAACGGAUCUCUUGGUUCUGGCAUCGAUGAAGAACGCAGCGAAAUGCGAUAAGUAGUGUGAAUUGCAGAAUUCAGUGAAUCAUCGAAUCUUUGAACGCACAUUGCGCCCCUUGGUAUUCCAUGGGGCAUGCCUGUUCGAGCGUCAUUUGUACCUUCAAGCUUUGCUUGGUGUUGGGUGUUUUGUCCUUUUCUUGCAAAUGGACUCGCCUUAAAGUAAUUGGCAGCCAGUGUUUUGGUUUUGAAGCGCAGCACAAGUCGCGAUUCAAGCCGGUAACACCAGCUUCCAUCAAGCCUUUUAUCACUUUUGACCUCGGAUCAGGUAGGGAUACCCGCUGAACUUAAGCAUAUCAAUA